This 462-nucleotide ribosomal RNA is filed under the name Triticum aestivum (bread wheat). RNAcentral describes it as "partial small subunit ribosomal RNA". The record is from RNAcentral. Lineage: Eukaryota; Viridiplantae; Streptophyta; Magnoliopsida; Poales; Poaceae.
AUGGUCAAGCAAAAGAUUGUUCUCAAGUUGCCGUUGGAUGGCGAGAGGAACAAGAGGAAGGCCUUCAAGGCCGCUGUUGGCAUGGCAGGUGUGACAUCCGCGACGUUGGAGGGGGACAAGAUCAUCAUCCUCGGCGACGGCGUCGACCCGAUCGCGCUGACGACGAUGCUCCGGCGCAACCUAGGAAAAGCCGAGCUCGUCAGCGUGUCGUCCGGCGAUGACAAGAAGAAAGAUGGCGGCUACGGCUACGGCGGAGAAAAGAAAAAGGACGGCUACGGCUACGGCAGCGCCGACGGUGGCGGCCGCAAGGACACCAAGGGUAACGGCGGUUACCAUCAGAAUGAGGUGGCGCCGAUCCCGUACCCCGCGUACCACCAGUACAACGCCAUGCCGUCCUACCCUGCUUACGCAUACGCUCCGUAUCAGCAACAGCAACAGGAUCCCGGUUGCAGCAUAAUGUAA